This 813-nucleotide long non-coding RNA is filed under the name Brassica rapa (field mustard). RNAcentral describes it as "long non-coding RNA (BRAP_LNC001708)". Lineage: Eukaryota; Viridiplantae; Streptophyta; Magnoliopsida; Brassicales; Brassicaceae. The record is from RNAcentral.
UUUUUUAUAGUUCUGUCACAUCCUUUAAAUUUAAGUAGGAGGAUUCUCUUUUUGAAUAAUGUUACCUUAUUAACAUACAAAACAGGUAAAUGAGUUACAUUGAUACCAAUUUCACUUUUUCUUAAGCUGAAACUUACUCUAGUUUGCACAUUUCUAAAAUUGUAGGAAGAAGCGGCGGCGGCGUAUCUCAAUGUUUAUUAUGUAUGAAUUUUAUAGGAAGAAACGGAGUACCUCAACAUCAUCUAUUUGUCACAUUAAACACUCUAAGAUCUGAGAAAAAAGUGUCAUGCAUUUUAGUUGGACAAUGAAAUUAAUAAAGGGUACUGUUAAAUGUAUAUACCUAUGGAGUUUAUAAAAGUUAAUUGUGUCUCACUCAACUCAAGAUGAAGUCCCUGAAUUGUAUUUUUUUUUUCUUCUUUCAAAAUUUGCUAAACAUUUUAUUAUAUUUUACUAAUUUUCCAUAAAAUAUUUUUUUUCUUUUUCCUUUUUUUUUACUACCUAAAACUUAUUUUAUUUUCUACAGUUUAUUUUCUUUUCUUCAUUAUUAUAUAUCAGAUUUUUAAAAUAAAAUUUCUAGUUCAUUUAAAUUUACUUUAACAAUUACUUUAAUAAUUUGUAUUUAUAUCUUUUAAUAACAGAUUAAAUUAACAACUAAAGUAAAUAAAUGUUUUGUAAUAAACCUAUUAUGUUCGGUAUGUAAUUUUUUAAUAUUACUUAAAAUAAAUAUUAAUGUUAUGAAAAUUUGUUUACCUCUUUUAGUUGACCUUAUUCUUGUAGAAAGUAAGAUUUAUAAAGUUUAAUAAUUAAUAUUAC